GCUCCCCGCUGCUUGCCCGGCCGGGGCCAGGCGCCCGCUCGUCCCCGCAGAGAGCCCUGCGGUCCUCGGACCAGCGCCUCGCGCUCCGGGGCCUCGUGCUGUACAAGAAAUCACUUCAGGAGAAUCAAAUGAGGUAAAGCAUGUGUCAGCAGUUCGCAGAAUACGCUGGACUCAAGCAUCCAAACAAAAUCUGCUUGUCCUUCAAGCCCCAGCUCCUUGUCUGAGCCUCCGCCUCUAAGCAUCCUUUGGGCCUGUACACUGUGGGAGAACGAAGAACCGUGAGGAUAAAAUCAGAGUCUCAUCUAAGGCUGCUGACAUCGGAGCGCUAGGAAGCUCGACGGGGACACUCGGAGUCAUUCAAAGUCCUCCCUGUCUUCUCCGUGCUCCCCUCACUGCCCACUCCUCAGCAGAAGGGGCAAAGCCUGUGGCCAGACUCCCCAGGACUCUGCUCAACUCCAUUCCCUCUGCCACACAACUUCUCUCAGCUACAGUCACCAGGGCCACUGGAGGUGCCUGGACUUGGGAACAUAUGCCUUCCCGUUGAGAGCUCAGCCAAAACCCCCCCAAGAUCUUAAUCAUCAACAAAAAAGAAACACUCUUACAUCUUACGAUGACCUUUAUAAACCUGUUUGAUUUCUUUGAGGGGAGGGGCAGCUUUCUUCAAAGCACUUCAGUCUCACAACAAAACUGCAGUGAGAAAUGAAAGACAAGCAAAAAUAGUUAAACAUUGAUGUAUCCUUCAUCAUCCCCACCAGUCAUUCACUUAGGAAGCCUCAGAGUAAUCGGAGAGGCUCAGAUUCAGGACAAUGACGUAAAAGGAGUAAUGAACACAAGUGGAGGAUAUAAUUGAGGUUCAUGCAACAAUAGGGAAUCAUUAAAAAUGUCAGAGGAGGGUGCAAGUUAUGUUUGGUGUCUGCUGCUCUAUUUCCCUAGCACUCUGCUUGUCAGAGUAAGGCUUACUUUAAGAUUUGUUCUACGCAGGACUGUCUCACCUGUGAUGGCAAGAUACACGUUCUAGGAUACCCUUUUAGUGCUCUGUGUUACUUUGAACAAUUUGGUUAACAUGUCUUAAAAGUUGUGCUACUUUGGACUUCUGUUAAAGCACUGUCUGUUACCAGUCUGUCAUGAAAGGGAGCCAGGGCCAUGCUCCCCAUGAGAACAGUGUUUGCAAUACACAUCAGAUCAGUUGUCCUCCACUUCUCCUACAUGUAAUAAAGCAGCUGCUUGUUACCAAUCAGACAUAAUGGAACUUGAUUUCUAUAAAUUCUCAGACAUCCUGAAGUAUUAAUAAUAUCAUUAUUAGAGAAGCCUGAUCACAUUAGUGUUCAUUUUAUAUUCCUUUAUUUUGCUUCAGAUGCUCUCUGUUGCAAGUUCCCCACAACUUCUUUAAACUUUCUUCUAUCUACCUCCUUAUCUUCAAUAUCCAAAGCUUUUCUUGUUUUGGCGUUUUAGCACCAAUAUUACACAUUUCCCCAUAGAAUGUCAACAAAGACUUCAGAUCCUAGAUGACAAUCUAAAACAUCUGGGUGGGGGA
Molecule: long non-coding RNA, 1534 nt
Organism: Canis lupus familiaris (dog)
Lineage: Eukaryota; Metazoa; Chordata; Mammalia; Carnivora; Canidae
Exons: 3
Source: RefSeq, a predicted model, not a curated record